This 861-nucleotide ribosomal RNA is filed under the name Triticum aestivum (bread wheat). RNAcentral's name for it is "partial small subunit ribosomal RNA". Lineage: Eukaryota; Viridiplantae; Streptophyta; Magnoliopsida; Poales; Poaceae. The record is from RNAcentral.
AUGCAGCCACUUUAUUAUUAUUCACGCAAAACCUUACAAAGUCAUACAACAGUAAAACUAAAGUCACCGUCUAGGCAACAUCUGUCGCUACUCCUAUCCAGUUUGUUGCAUGUAUGUGUGUGUUGGAGAGUCACCUUUCUUAUUUUCGCUAUAAGCUGUCCGGCCGUUGGCCCAGGGAACGCCAAGCUUGGUGGCCUCGGGAUCCGCGACCUUCACCGGACGGGCAUCUCUCUGCGCGUCAGAUGGCUCUGGCUGUCUGCUUCUGACAGCUCACGCCCUUGGUCUCAUCUUCAGCCGCCCUCGGACCCCGAAGCACUUCAAUUCUUCCGGGCCUCGACGACGUGGAUCCUUGGCAACGGUACCUCUUGCCGCUUCUGGACCGACAAGUGGAUCCAGGGCCGCUCCAUCCAGGAGCUUGCCCCAAGCCUGGUGGCCCUUGUGCCGAGCCGAUCGCGCCGCUCUCGCACGGUCGCGACUGCCCUUCACGAUCGCACCUGGAUCAGAGACAUCCAUGGCUCCCUCGGCCCGGAGGCCAUGCUUCAGUAUGUGGAUAUCUGGCGCAGACUCCAGUCUGUCGCUCUGACCACGGAGCCUGACACCAUCCGAUGGAAGUGGACGGAUCAUGGUGCCUACUCUGCUGCCUCCUAUUACGGUGCUCUAUUCACUGGUUCCACGGCGUCCGAGCACUGGCGUAUCGUGUGGAAAACCGGCGCCCCCCUCUCGGUCAAGUUCUUCAUCUACCUUGCAUCCGUCAACCGCUGCUGGACGGCUGAUCGGCUUGCUCGCCGCGGGCUUCCGCAUGAGCCGGCAUGUGUGCUCUGCUCUCAGCAUGCCGAGACCUUGCAUCACAUCCUUGUGUAG